RNAcentral lists this ribosomal RNA (484 nucleotides) under uncultured bacterium. RNAcentral describes it as "partial 16S ribosomal RNA". It matches the Rfam family "Bacterial small subunit ribosomal RNA", at positions 30 to 507 of the family's 1533-position model. The record is from RNAcentral.
AUUGAACGCUGGCGGCAGGCCUAACACAUGCAAGUCGAGCGGAUGAAGGGAGCUUGCUCCUGGAUUCAGCGGCGGACGGGUGAGUAAUGCCUAGGAAUCUGCCUGGUAGUGGGGGAUAACGUCCGGAAACGGGCGCUAAUACCGCAUACGUCCUGAGGGAGAAAGUGGGGGAUCUUCGGACCUCACGCUAUCAGAUGAGCCUAGGUCGGAUUAGCUAGUUGGUGGGGUAAAGGCCUACCAAGGCGACGAUCCGUAACUGGUCUGAGAGGAUGAUCAGUCACACUAGAACUGAGACACGGUCCAGACUCCUACGGGAGGCAGCAGUGGGGAAUAUUGGACAAUGGGCGGGAACCUGAUCCAGCCAUGCCGCGUGUGUGAAGAAGGUCUUCGGAUUGUGAAGCACUUUAAGUUGGGAGAAAGGGCAGUAAGUUAAUACCUUGCUGUUUUGACGUUACCAACAGAAUAAGCACCGGCUAACUUCGUG